RNAcentral lists this ribosomal RNA (301 nucleotides) under uncultured bacterium. Its description in RNAcentral is "partial 16S ribosomal RNA". It matches the Rfam family "Bacterial small subunit ribosomal RNA", at positions 509 to 807 of the family's 1533-position model. The record is from RNAcentral.
CAGCAGCCGCGGUAAAACGGAGGGAGCUAGCGUUGUUCGGAAUCACUGGGCGUAAAGCGCACGUAGGCGGCUUUGUAAGUUAGAGGUGAAAGCCUGGAGCUCAACUCCAGAACUGCCUUUAAGACUGCAUCGCUUGAAUCCAGGAGAGGUGAGUGGAAUUCCGAGUGUAGAGGUGAAAUUCGUAGAUAUUCGGAAGAACACCAGUGGCGAAGGCGGCUCACUGGACUGGUAUUGACGCUGAGGUGCGAAAGCGUGGGGAGCAAACAGGAUUAGAUACCCCAGUAGUCCCUGUCUCUUAUAC